AGCGAACGCUGGCGGCAGGCCUAACACAUGCAAGUCGAACGAACCUUUCGGGGUUAGUGGCGGACGGGUGAGUAACACGUGGGAACGUGCCUUUAGGUUCGGAAUAACUCAGGGAAACUUGUGCUAAUACCGAAUGUGCCCUUCGGGGGAAAGAUUAAUCGCCUUUAGAGCGGCCCGCGUCUGAUUAGCUAGUUGGUUGAGGUAAUGGCUCACCAAGGCGACGAUCAGUAGCUGGUCUGAGAGGAUGAUCAGCCACAUUGGGACUGAGACACGGCCCAAACUCCUACGGGAAGCAGCAGUGGGGAAUCUUGCGCAAUGGGCGAAAGCCUGACGCAGCCAUGACGCGUGAAUGAUGAAGGUCUUAGGAUUGUAAAAUUCUUUCACCGGGGACGAUAAUGACGGUACCCGGAGAAGAAGCCCCGGCUAACUUCGUG
This 434-nucleotide ribosomal RNA is filed under the name uncultured bacterium. RNAcentral describes it as "partial 16S ribosomal RNA". It matches the Rfam family "Bacterial small subunit ribosomal RNA", at positions 29 to 507 of the family's 1533-position model. The record is from RNAcentral.